CAUUUAAAUCUGUCAGCUGCAAUGCCAAGUUCCAACCUCUAGAUGCCGCUGCAGGACAACGCAGGGAAAGCAAAUGGCGGCUCCUACGGAAUGAUGUUCGGCACAGAAAAUAAGGCUCAGCAGAUACUCCCAAUCCACAAACUGUCCCGGAAGAAAGAUACGCAAAAAGCGGGGCGUAGUGAGCUCUCUUCGCCUCUGGUACUUACAAUCCAGUGACGAUUAUAAGUCCAGUUUCUCCGGACAGGCGCGAGCGGAAAAGGAAGCCACUCAGAGCAAGGUGGCCGGGAGCCGAGCGUCUCCUUCCGAAUUCCUUUGUUCUUCCCGGCACCUGGCAAAGCGAUCCGCUGAUUAUCGGUGAAAUGGCGGAGGACGGGCAACGCGAAAUCUCGCCAAAAACCGCAGCUCCAAACGCCAGAUUCUGCAACUCCGCAGCUCAGCGGGCCUCCGUCCGUUAACGGCCGACCUAGCCGAGAAAAGACAGCUACGUCACCACACGGGACGGGACGCUGCUGUGAGUCGCAACACGCCUCGGGCGGAAGUGCGGGCUGCCCCGGCGCGCGCAGGCGCAACGCCGAUUACGCGCUCCGGCGUGUCUUGUAGUCUCGCGAGAACUUGGCCUUAACGGGAUAAAGACUAUGUUUUAAAAACCUGUUGAUUUAGGCAUUCCCUGGUGGUGCAGUGGUUGGGAGUCCGCCUGCCGAUGCAGAUCCGCGGGUUCGUGCCCCAGUCCGGGAGGAUCCUGCGUGCCGCGGAGCGGUUGGGCUCCUGAACCGUGGCUGCUGGGCCUGCGCGUCUGGAGCCUGUGCUCCGCAAUGGGAGAGGCCACAGCACUGAGAGGCCUGCGUAACGCAAAAAAAAAAAAAAAAAAAAGCUGUUAGUUUUUAAAAGUAACGGUUCUAAGAAGGACAUAGAUUUUCCCGCCCGCCUCCGCUAAGCCAGGGCUUUUACCGGAUGUCUGUGGGGCCGGAUACCUCCUAGGCUUCCGUGUGAUUGCCGGAGAUAGGGCGUCCGUGCGGAAAUGGUGUUUGUUUCUUGAAACAUCUCGGCAUCUCCACAGGCUAUAUUCAAUCUGGAGCCGAUAAAAGAACUCUAUAACUAACCAUACCGUGGAUUUUAAAGUAUCCAAGUCAGUGGAGUGAGGACGUGAAGCCCACUAUAACUCUAAGUCUGUGUUUGUUGAUUAUGAAGAUGGCCGUAGGGGGCCCGUGACUCGGUCUUUUUCUGUUUUGAAGACCCCCUGAGGGAACAAGGGUGAUUCCUCUUUUUUCUUUUUCUUUUCUUUUUUUAUACAGCAAUUUCUUAUUAGUCAUCCAUUUUGUACAUAUUAGUGUAUACAUGUCAAUCCCAAUCUCCCAGUUCAUCCCCGCCCUCCCCUCCCCUGCCACUUCCCCCCCUUGGUGUCCAUACGUUUGUUGUCUGCAUCUGUGUCUCAAUUUCUGCCCUGCAAACCGGUUCAUCUGUACCAUUUUUCUAGGUUCCACAUAUAUGCGUUAAUAUACGAUAUUUGUUUUUCUCUUUCUGACUUCACUCUGUGUGAGUCUCUAGAUCCAUCCACGUCUCUAUAGGUGACCCAAUUUCGUUCCUUUUUAUGGCUGAGUAGUGAUUCCUCUUUUUAAUGUGUUUGACGUAAAUAUAAAUGUAAACAGAGAAGGUAGUGUUCUUCUGGAGGCCCAUGUUCAUUUAGGACAGUUGGCUGAAAGACGAAUAGUCUGAUUAAAGUAGAAUAUAAUUGAAGUAUUACUUCCUUCUACUCAUUUGCCAGUAAUUUUUAAAUUAGUUUGGAAUUUUAAAAAAUCCACCUCUACUGUUUGGAUAACUUUUCUGCUUGCCUCUUCUUUAGGUGGUCAAGUAUUCUUCAACAUGUAUUUAUAGUACUUCAGUUUAACUGUGUAACAGUUUCCACUUAUUCCUAUUCAUUUCCAUUUAUUUAUUAAUAGGAUCAAUUUGGUAGACUAUCGAGGUCACUAAAAUUUCAAUUUCUAUUCUCUAAUAUAUCAACACCUGCAUCUAAGUUUUAGAGAAUUCACUUAAAAUGUGAUUAACAUUUAGAAAAUUCACUUUAUUUCUUUAUGUACUUAUUGUCUCCCUCACCUAAGAUUGGAAGCUCCAUGAUAAUCAGGAGUCUAAUAUCAUGUUCAUCCGGUCCCAGUGCCUAGUAUCAAAACGUGGGAGAUAAAAAAUAUUUGCUAAUUGAAUGAAACAAUUGAUCCAUCCAGAAAGAAUAUAAAUACAAUCUAAAUCCUAUAGUAAUUUGUCAGAAAAUACAUUCUGUGUCACCUUAAAAUGAGAUAGAGCCACUUUAUAUAUACAUUUCCUCUCCAGUCUCGGACGGUGCCAAUUGUUAUGAGGCCAGAAGUUUGCAAAUAGCGUGUGUGAAUGUGACCCCUUUUGUUUCGUAGACUGUGCUACUGUGUGUCAUGGGGUGGAAUUUAAAUGGUUUGGUACCAGUCUGGUUUUUUAUGUUAAGUUUGAAGGAAAAUUAUGCUCUUCUACAUAACUGUACUUUAGUUCUUUGUUCUGUAAUGUGUUGAAGAACGUUAGCUGAUGUAUAUGUAAUUUCCAGGAUGAUGUAUUUCCUCUUUUUGAAGAAGUUUUUCCAAUGUGCUUGUCCCUUAAUUGUACCUGAUUUUACUUCAUAGAUAUGAGUUUAGCAUGCUAGCCUUUGCAUAAUGCUUUAUUUAACCCUAUAAAAUGUGAGGCCGUGCUUAUACAUGAAAAUAAUCCAAAUAUUGCUUUGCAUUUUAAUUGCCUAUGAGUUUUAUGAUGCUCAUAUAUCUUUGUCACAAAAAAUAACUUGAGAUAAAUUCUGGGCAAUUCAGAUUUGCCAAAAUUAUCGUGUAUUUUAGUUAUUAAACCUUGAAAUGGAAGGUUGUCAGAGAUAAUUAAAAGGAUCAACUGAAGUGUCCCCUAAAGUAUCUACCUCCUUCAAUCCUGAAACAUAUUUUCUGUUUUUGAGUUUAAUACAUUUUCUGAAUGCUGUUUUUUGAGGGGUAGUUACAUUGAUCUUAAAGCUAAGGGCCCUGCCACAUCACCAUUACCUUAAUGUCUAUUGAUUAAUCCAGUUGUUGUUCUUGUUGUUGUUGUUUUGACUGGGUAACUGAAUUUUAUUUAUUUAUUUUAUUUUUGGCUGCAUUGGGUCUCUGUUGCUGCACGUGGGCUUUCUCUAGUUGGAGCGAGCGGGGGCUACUCUUCGUUGCAUUGCGUGAGCUUCUCAUUGCGGUGGCUUCUCUUGCUGCAGAGCACGGGCUCUAGGUGCGCGGGCUUCAGUAGCUGCAGCACGCAGGCUCAGUAGUUGUGGCUCACGGGCUUAGUUGCUCCGCAGCAUGUGGGAUCUUCCCGGAGCAGGGCUCGAACCCAUUUCUCGUGCAUUGGCAGGCAGAUUCUUAACCACUACACUGCCAGGCAAGUCCCAAGGAACUGAAUUUUUAAUUUUGUUUAAUUUCUUUAACACCUUUAUUGGAGUAUAAUUGCUUUACAAUGGUGUGUUAGUUUCUGCUUUAAAACAAAGUUAAUCACCUAUACAUAUACAUAUAUCCCCGUAUCUCCUCCCUCUUGCGUCUCCCUCCCACCCGCCCUAUCCCACCCCUCCAGGUGGUCACAAACCACCGAGCUGAUCUCCCUGUGCUAUGUGGCUGCUUCCUACUAUCUAUUUUACAUUUGGUAGUGUAUAUAUGUCCAUGCCACUCUCUCACUUCGUCCCACCUUACCCUUACCCCUCCCCGUGUCCUCAAGUCCAUUCUCUAUGUCUGCGUUUUUAUUCCUGUCUUACCCCUAGGUUCUUCAUGACAUUUUUUUUCCUUAAAUUCCAUAUAUAUGUGUUAGCAUACGGUAUUUGUCUUUUUCUUUCUGACUUACUUCACUCUGUAUGACAGAUUCUAGGUCCAUCCAACUCAGUACAAAUAACUCAAUUUCGUUUCUUUUUAUGGCUGAGUAAUAUUCUAUUGUAUAUAGGUGCCACAUCUUCUUUAUCCAUUCAUCUGUCGAUGGACACUUAGGCUGCUUCCAUGUCCUGGCUAUUAUAAAUAGAGCUGCAAUGAACAUUGUGGUACAUGACUCUUUGAAUUAUGGUUUUCUCAGGCUUAUUCCCAGUAGUGGGAUUGCUGGGCUCUAUGGUAUUUCUAUUUUUAGCUUUUUAAGGAACCUCCACACUGUUCUCCGUAGUGGCUGUAUCAAUUUACAUUCCCACCAACAGUGCAAGAGUGUUCCCUUUUCUCCACACGCUCUCCAGCAUUUAUUAUUUGUAGAUUUUUUGAUGGUGGCCAUGCUGACUGGUGUGAGGUGAUAACCUCAUUGUAGUUUUGAUUUGCAUUUCUCUAAUGAUGUGUGAUGUUGAGCAUCCUUUCAUGUGGUGGUGGCAAUCUGUAUAUCUUCUUUGGAGAAAUGUCUGUUUAGGUCUUCUGCCCAUUUUUGGAUUGGGUUGUUUGUUUUUUUGAUAUUGAGCUGCAUGAGCUGCUUGUAAAUUUUGGAGAUUAAUCCUUUGUCAGUUGCUUCAUUUGCAUAUAUUUUCUCCCAUUCUGAGGGUUGUCUUUUCAUCUUGUUUAUGGUUUCCUUUGUUGUGUAAAAGCUUUUAAGUUUCAUUAGGUCCCAUUUGUUUAUUUUUGUUUUUAUUUCCAUUUCUCUAGGAGGUGUGUCAAAAAGGAUCUUGCUGUGAUUUAUGUCAUAGAGAGUUCUGCCUAUGUUUUCCUCUAAGAGUUUGAUAGUGUCUGGCCUUACAUUUAGGUCUUUAAUCCAUUUUGAGUUUAUUUUUCUGUAUGGUGUUAGGGAGUGUUCUAAUUUCAUUCUUUUACAUGUGGCUGUCCAGUUUUCCCAGCACCACUUAUUGAGGAGGCUGUCUUUUCUCCAUUGUAUAUUCUUGCCUCCUUUAUCAAAAAUAAGGUGACCGUAUGUGCGUGGGUUUAUCUCUGGGCUUUCUAUCCUGUUCCAUUGAUCUAUAUUUCUGUUUUUGUGCCAGUACCAUACUGUCUUGAUUACUGUAGCUUUGUAGUAUAGUCUGGAGUCUGGGAGCCUGAUUCCUCCAGCUCCGUUUUUCUUUCUCAAGAUUGCUUUGGCUAUUCGGGGUCUUUUUUGUUUCCAUGCAAAUUGUGAAAUUUUUUGUUCUACUUCUGUGAAAACUGCCAUUGGUAGCUUGAUAGGGAUUGCACUGAAUCUGUAGAUUACUUUGGGUAGUAUAGUCAUUUUCACAAUGUUGAUUCUUCCUGUCCAAGAACGUGGUAUCCCUCUCCAUCUGUUUGUAUCAUCUUUAAUUUCUUUCAUCAGUGUCUUAUAGUUUUCUGCAUAUAGGUCUCUUGUCUCCUUAGGUAGGUUUAUUCCUAGGUAUUUUAUUAUUUUUGUUGCAGUGGUAAAUGGGAGUGUUUCCUUAAUUUCUCUUUCAGAUUUCUCAUCAUUAGUGUAUAGGAAUGCAAGAGAUUUCUGUGCAUUAACUUUGUAUCCUGCUACUUUACCAAGUUCAUUGAUUAGCUCUAGUAGUUUUCUAGUAGCAUCUUUAGUAUUCUCUAUGCAUAGUAUCAUGUCAUCUGCAAACAGUGACAGCUUUACUUCUUCUUUUCUUAUUUGGAUUCCUUUUAUUUGUUUUUUUUUCUCUGAUUGCUGUGGCUAAAACUUCCAAAACUAUGUUGAAUAAUAGUGGUGAGCGUGGAUAACCUUGUCUUGUUCCUGAUCUUAGUGGAAAUGGUUUCAGUUUUUCACCAUUGAGAACGAUUUUGGCUGUGGGUUUGUCAUAUAUAGCCUUUAUUAUGUUGAGGUAAGUUCCCUCUAUACCUACUUUCUGGAGGGUUUUUAUCAUAAAUCGGUGUUGAAUUUUGUCAAAUGUUGUUUUUUUAAAUCAAAUCCACUUGACAUAUAGAAACACUCUAAGUUGAUAAAAAGAAUUACACUCCUGUGGUUGUUCCAUAAAAUAUCUGUGAUACUGGUGAACCAAAGAUUUGGGGGGGAGCAAUAAAUUCCCCAGUGUGGUAAUAAGCCUCACAGGGCUUCCUACCUAUGAUAAAGGAGUAUCACAAUCGGGCUAAUGCUGUAUGAUUGAAAAUUCUCUUUAAUAAACUUUCAAGUUCCUUAUACUGUGGAGGUUAAAAAAAAUGUGAGUGAUGGAAGAAGCCUUGUUUAUAUUUUGGAGAUUGAAAAUUAUAGGAGUGAGGAAAUAGCAAAUACCCCCCAAAAUACACUUAUAUACUGUUCCAGCAGUAUAUAAUCAGUAAAAAGCAAGUUAACUAAAUUGUAGCAGUCUCUUGUAUCAAAUAGGAUGCUUUCGAUAGAAAAAAAGACCAGCCUAAUUUACACUGGUUUAAACAGUAAGAAAAUGUGUUAUCUCAAAAACCAGGUAGUCUAGAGCAGCUCUGUCCAAUAGAAAUAUAAUGUGAGUCACAGGUGAAAGUCACAUAUGUAUGUUAAAUUAUCUAGUAGCCACAUUAAAAUGCCAAAAGGAAACACGUGAAACUACUUUCAAUGACAUUUUAUUUAACCUAAUUACCAAAAUAUUGCUCAACAUAUAAUCAGUGUAUAAAAUAUUAACAAUAUUUUACAUUCUUAUUUUGUACUGAAUCCUCAAAAUCAAGUGUUUAUUUUACACUUACAGUACAUCUCAGUUUGGACUAGCCACACUUCAAGUGCCCAGUGGCCACAUGUGGCAGGUGAUUACUCUGUCGGACAGUGCAGUUCUAGAAGUAUGGCUGCCUCUAGGCAGGAUCGAAUUAUGGUCUGGCACAAAUUGUUUAACUCUUGCUAAUUUUGGAUAAUGAACAUUUAUUUACACUUUAUUAUUCUUUCAGCUUUACCCUCACCUCCUUGUAAAUUUCCAAAGUCUGUGGUCAUAAGAAACCUGCCAGCAGUAACUGGGGAACUUCCUUCCUUGUCCACGAAACAUACCCGGAAGUGGAAUUGCUGGAUCAUGUGGUAGUUCUAUUUUUAAUUUUUUGAGGAACUUCCAUAUUCUUUUAAAAAGGAAGGAAAAUCUGAUAUAUGCUGCAACAUGGAUGAACCUUGAGGAUAUUAUGCUAUGUAAAAUAAGCCAGUCACACACACACGCAAAAGACAAAUACCAUAUGAUUCCACUUAUAUGAAGUAUUUAGAAUAGUCAAAAUCAUAGACAGAGCAAGUAGAAUGGUGUUUGCCAGGGGCUGGAGAGGAGGGAGAAUGAGGAGUUACCAUUUAAUGGGUAUAGGUUUCAGCUUUAUAAGAUAAAACGAGUUCUGGAGAUGGAUGAUUGUGAUGGUUGCAUGACAUUAUGAAUGUAUUUAAUACUACUGAACUGUACACUUAAAAUGGUUAAGUUGGUAAAUUUUAUGUUAUGUGUAAAAUUGUAAUUAAAUAAUGCGAUUACUGAUACUUGAAAAUUUUUGUCAGUAUUUUCUACCUUUUAUAUUGCAAGUUUCUUUUAUAUUGUAGAAUAUACAGUGAGAAUUUCCUUUUCUCAUGUAAAAUUCUUUUUACAGUGGGUAAUUUCUUGAGUAAAAAAUGUUUAAUAAAAAGAAGCUUCAAGUGUUCUUCAAAGGGAAAUGUCAAGAGGGAAAUUGUGUAAGAAUUUUUAUUUUAAGCUGAUGUGAAUUUUAAUAAAUUAAAACGUUUGAUUUAAAUUUUGUGGAAAGACCACUUUAUUAGUAUUUUGUCAAAAAGAAAUAGUGACUUGUAGCCUUUAUACUGAACCAACUGGUAUUGUAAAAAUAAGUCCCGGAAAUAAAGCAAAUACAGUCUCCUGUGAGGACUUUCAGAAAUAACAUGUGGUAGCUAUCCUACUGGACCUCUGGGUGCCGCUGUUGGCCAAUCCGUGGCUUAGAGUGAAACAAAGGAACCCACUGGCGGUUCUGACGCAGCGAUGUAUGCACAUUUUUGAGAAACACACCAGGAGCGGACUCUGCACGCCAUCUCUCUUGCAAUCUGCUCCAAAUAUCUGGGUCAGGAAGGUCUGAGAGAGCUGCUGCCUUUUCUUUCCAGCGCACCUUGGUAAUCCGAGGAGCAACUGUAGCGAGGUGCAUUCGGUCCUACGAAGCAGCAUCGUGAAGAGAGAGAAGUCUCCCCACAGGGAAGACGCGGGAGUGCAGGAAGCGCUGUUUCCUUUUCUGAUGUCUUUGUUCAGCCUAGUGAACUGCGCAGCAGUUACGCUGAGAGAUUCCGGAAGAGAUAGCCGAGGAUUUAAAAGUGGGGAAUCUCGCCAAAGAUCUACAUGUUGGUGACAAGAACCAUGGGUCUACUGUAUGGUCCAGGAGAUUGGGAAUGGGAGGCUCACCCAGAGCCUCCAUUGCACACUUUAGCACUUCCAACUGAAACUUGGUGCCCUAAGUGCCUCCUAUUUUUCCUGACCAGGUGCUGUUGUCUGACGUGUCAGUGAGUGCAGAGCACAGUGGUGUUCACUGCAGCCUACCUUUGAGCUGACUCUGUGGCCUGGGACCAGUGCUCUGUGUCAGCCUGAGCCUGCCUGUAAUGGUGUACUACCACUGCAAAAACUCACAGAAGACGUGCUAUGCUGGGAGUUGCACCUGGAAGUCACAUGCCUCUUUCAUGGGGCAUCACACACUGCAGCUCGACUACCUGGUCGCCAAGGUGACUGGGGCGCAACACCUGACUGUCCUAUCAGGUGUCCUAAUCUGACUCUUCAACCUGAGAAUGCACAAGAGCAAGAUGCCCACUGGGGCACUGCAGAUGACAGAGACACCGUUCUCUGGGGCUUGCUGGUCACCAUGCUCAAUGACGACAUUCGUCAUGCUGCAGCUAGUCUUUGCAGGAGUUGUGGACAGACCUCAGCGACCACCCACCACCUACUGCCAGAGCUACAGCUUUACCUGGUCAUGGCCUUUUCGCCUUGAUCUUCAUGUUCUUCUUCCUAGCAGUGACUCUGGCCAUAGCCUGGUGCCUGCAGUGCUCCUCCAGCCCUGCAAUUCAGCCUGGUCCAAGACUGGACGUGGAGUUGCUCCCACUUCAGCAAGAGAGAUUUGCCCUAUUCCUACAGUCAAUAUGUGACUUCAGAUAUUGCAAAGUCUUAAUUUCUUCAAGUUAACUCAGAAACAUCUUCAACUAGAUCGUUUCUGUAGUACCAGCAGUGAAGCCUUAACUAUUACAUUGGAUUCAAAUGUAUUCGUGUGAGUUUUAACACUUUUAUUUCAUAAAUAUCACCCUGCUGUAAGCAAUCCUGCUUAUUUUUUGUUGUCUUUAGGGGUGUGCGAGAGCUCUACAAGUUUGCUUGCUAGUUUCUAUGUAUAUUUUGAUUUGUUUCAUUAGCCCAGAAAAUUCCUUUGGGCAAAACUUUGUGCCUAUUAAUGUACGUUCUGAAAAAUUAUGUUUCUGGCUAAAGAGUUCUUUCCUCGAAAUAUUGAAGGAGGUUCACUGCAUCUUUAAGUUUCUGCUCUUGGGCUACAUUAUAUUUGUCUUUGAGAAGCUGGGAAACUGUAGAUUUGGUUGUGUAAGAACAUAGAGUCUCUCUCCAAGAACUAUUCUGGCCUUUGAUUGUUUCCCUGCAUCAUUUUCCAGAGCCUUCUCAGUCAUGCUGUCCAUGGGUUGGCUGCCAAUAUCUGGCCCAAUUUGUUCCUAAAAUUGUCAGCUUCUGGAAUGCAGAGAUCAUUCUUCCCUAACUUCUGUGUAAGGAUAAAUAAAUCACACUAAGCCCAAGACACUUCAGUUAGUAACCUUUUACUAAUUUGCAAUGAGUAAAAGAAGGAAGGCAAUAUAGUUUUAAAAUCUUGCUGUUUUAGAAAACCAACUUCUUUUGGAGAAAACAUUAAGUGUGGAUGUAGGAGAAUACAUAUUAUCCUAAUAUAGACUAUCUAAAAAUAAAGAUGUGGCCUUUUUAUUUUCAAUUUUGAAAAAUA
Long non-coding RNA from Orcinus orca (killer whale), 9794 nucleotides. RefSeq lists it as uncharacterized. The record is from RefSeq and is a predicted model, not a curated record. The transcript has 4 exons. NCBI's taxonomy places the organism in Eukaryota, Metazoa, Chordata, Mammalia, Artiodactyla, Delphinidae.